RNAcentral lists this long non-coding RNA (1093 nucleotides) under Phasianus colchicus (ring-necked pheasant). Its description in RNAcentral is "lncRNA (ENSPCLG00000020019.1)". Lineage: Eukaryota; Metazoa; Chordata; Aves; Galliformes; Phasianidae. The record is from RNAcentral.
GUUACAGCAAGCCAGCAGAUCUCCUCAGCAGUGGACUUGGAGCAGGUGACCUCCAGAGGUUUCUUCCAAGCUCAACCCUUCCUUGUUUCUACAUCAAAGUUUUGCAAAAGAUUCAAAACCAGCACUUGAACUGCAGAUAUUAUUAGUCACCAAAAACCAAAGUUAAUGUGCAGUUCCUUCUCUCAAAGUCUCUAUUGCUCAAGGUGAGCCAUACGGCAUUACGCGUGGGCUGAGCCUGACAAGAGCCUACAGAGGAAGGACUUUGCAAUACACAUUCCCAUAAUUAUCCCACAUACAGCCGUAGCCUUAUAUGGGUACGUUUUCAACCUGCCACCUCUACUUAUCUCAGCAAGGGAGUGAUCAAGUCACAGCUGAGAUCCGCAGACUUUACAGGUAGGCACAAAGCAGUUGCUUUUGGUUUUGUUUUGGCCAACUCUAUCUGCAGGAUCUACCCCCAUUUCCUCCACAGUCUGUGACUGGUUUCUUGUAGGGAAGGAAAGACUUUGCCCGGCUGACACCCAAUGCUCGCUGUACACCCUGUACUACUGUCCCUUCCUUGGUUAUAAGCAAGAGAUCAACACAGGUGGGAAAUACCAGGAGAAAAGAACCCAGCACCGACAAUGGCCAGUGGGAAUGAAAGGUUUGAGUCAAAGAGAUGCAACAGGACAGAACAAAUCACGCACAAACGAAGGAAUGAAGACCUCCUGACGUUCUACCUGCGUCAUCAGGAUGCACUAACAAGUCCCUGUGCAAGCCACCAAAGCAACAUUUUCACUCUGCCAUGUUCUGACGCUAUGAGGAGAGACAUCCAAGUGCUUCAGAAGUUCAUCAGGAAGUGCGAGCCCCGUGGAGUUGUUGUUACCAAAGAAGAAGUUGUUAUUGUCAGUGAAGACACUGAUGUUUGCAAACAAACGUCACCAAAGAACCUCAGCAAAGCUACAACCCUAAUGGAAGAGCACAGGGUAGAAGCAGGAAGCAGAGGCUGCCCAGAAUCCCGUAGCACAGACCUUGGAGGGCCUCCAGGAGUCAGGCCACGAUCACAGCCUCCAGCUCCGAGAGACCAAAGGGAACCAAAGGAUUUGGAUCUUCCCCC